ACUUACUCCACAAACGUUAUUUAACUAUAUAUGCAGUAGGAGUAUUCUAUUGUGCCAGUAUUCUUAUCCAUCUUUUUAUAACUAGUGUAAUAAAUGUAACCCAAGCUCACUAUAUGUAGCAGCUUAUUGAUCCAAAAAGCUACCAUCAACAAUAAUUCAGUGAGAUGCGGCACGCCGGAAGGUUCCUAAAGAUGACAAGUUGUCGCAUCUCGAGCAUGUCUCAUAGGAGAGUGAAAUGAAGUCCGUUGUACUGUUGGAAUAGUAGUAGAUGUGGCAUUGUUCUAUUGUACAAUUCUGUGUGUUCUUGCUAUAUUUCUGUGUAAGAAAAUGUAUUCAUGAGAUGAAUUAUUGUGUUAUGUAAACCUGGGAGAUGUAUUAUGUGA
Molecule: long non-coding RNA, 383 nt
Organism: Hordeum vulgare subsp. vulgare (domesticated barley)
Lineage: Eukaryota; Viridiplantae; Streptophyta; Magnoliopsida; Poales; Poaceae
Exons: 2
Source: RefSeq, a predicted model, not a curated record